UUCAUCAGGCCAAUUUUAGUCUU
This 23-nucleotide microRNA is filed under the name Ascaris suum (pig roundworm). Its description in RNAcentral is "Asu-Mir-77_3p (mature (guide))". The record is from RNAcentral. Lineage: Eukaryota; Metazoa; Nematoda; Chromadorea; Rhabditida; Ascarididae.